GGGCUUUUGGAGCAUUGAGAGGGGUGUAGCUGUGGAAUCUUCCUAGGAAACUCUGCGGUCCGAGCUCCUCUACCUACGAGCUCGGGGAGGAGUUCAGACAUGCUUGUAUCCGAGGGGAGUUCGAGAACGUAACCGAGCUUCACUCGGCCCUUUUUUAGCUAUGGGUUUGCUGGAGUCACCCGCUUGUCACUCCUUCACGGCCUCCUCAUCCUUCAACUUGAAGGCUUCCUCUGCUUGGGCAUAUCCUUCGGCCCGAGCCAGCAAAUCAGCGAAGUCCCUGGGGUACUUCUUUUUCAGGAAAAAUAGAAGAUCAUUCUUUUGAAGACCGCUCUUCAGGGCGGCCAUUGCAACUGAUUGGUCCAAGUUUCAGACCUCCAAUGCGGCGGCAUUAAAGUGGUUGACGUAAGUUUGGAUAGAUUCUCCCUCCUUUUGCUUGAUGUUGAUGAGGGACUCCGAAUCUCUCCGGAGAU
RNAcentral lists this long non-coding RNA (470 nucleotides) under Elaeis guineensis (African oil palm). RNAcentral describes it as "long non-coding RNA (EGUI_LNC066694)". The record is from RNAcentral. Lineage: Eukaryota; Viridiplantae; Streptophyta; Magnoliopsida; Arecales; Arecaceae.